Molecule: ribosomal RNA, 34 nt
Filed under: Morchella elata
Lineage: Eukaryota; Fungi; Ascomycota; Pezizomycetes; Pezizales; Morchellaceae
Also listed under: 2 other names
Description: partial 18S ribosomal RNA
Source: RNAcentral
UUCCGUAGGUGAACCUGCGGAAGGAUCAUUACCA